GGACUGGAAAUAUCUGGUUGAUGUUGCUUGGAAAGACGAAUCUCACUUGAAACGCUCUACGGCUGGUAAAGCAAAUAGGGGUAUGCUCCCCUAUAAUCAUACAAGUGGAUCGCGAUCAUUUCCUAUAGCAAUGUCGCUUAUGGCAAAUGAGGAUGGAGAUAUAGAUUUCCCUGAAUUUUAUAAGAAAGCACACAAGUCCAAGAAGACGGGAGAUUGGAU
This is a non-coding RNA of Camellia sinensis, 219 nucleotides long. Lineage: Eukaryota; Viridiplantae; Streptophyta; Magnoliopsida; Ericales; Theaceae. The record is from RefSeq and is a predicted model, not a curated record.